GAGGAGCGGGAGAAGAAGAAACCCAAGAGGAGAGGAUGAGGAGGUGAGGUUUGACUCGUUUGAGCCUCGAAAUUCCUGGGCUUGGGCUUGGGCUUGGCAGGGAGGAGCUCCUUGGGGACGACGAUGGUGAGGAGUGACGAUGUCGUUCCCUGUAGAUCUCCCCCUUCCCCCUUUCAGCGACGUGCCACACUUGGGGAGCAUCAUUUGGGCUUCGAAAGUUAGAGAGUGACAACAUCAUUUAGGCCUACUAGUUUUAUUUUCUAUCAAUAUGUGAUUCUUCUUAAUU
Molecule: long non-coding RNA, 286 nt
Filed under: Phoenix dactylifera (date palm)
Lineage: Eukaryota; Viridiplantae; Streptophyta; Magnoliopsida; Arecales; Arecaceae
Description: long non-coding RNA (PDAC_LNC011207)
Source: RNAcentral